RNAcentral lists this ribosomal RNA (514 nucleotides) under uncultured bacterium. RNAcentral describes it as "partial 16S ribosomal RNA". It matches the Rfam family "Bacterial small subunit ribosomal RNA", at positions 28 to 523 of the family's 1533-position model. The record is from RNAcentral.
GAUGAACGCUGGCGGCGUGCCUAAUACAUGCAAGUCGAGCGAACAGAUGAGAAGCUUGCUUCUCUGAUGUUAGCGGCGGACGGGUGAGUAACACGUGGGUAACCUACCUAUAAGACUGGGAUAACUCCGGGAAACCGGGGCUAAUACCGGAUAAUAUUUUGAACCGCAUGGUUCAAUAGUGAAAGACGGUUUCGGCUGUCACUUAUAGAUGGACCCGCGCCGUAUUAGCUAGUUGGUAAGGUAACGGCUUACCAAGGCGACGAUACGUAGCCGACCUGAGAGGGUGAUCGGCCACACUGGAACAGAGACACGGUCCAGACUCCUACGGGAGGCAGCAGUAGGGAAUCUUCCGCAAUGGGCGAAAGCCUGACGGAGCAACGCCGCGUGAGUGAUGAAGGUCUUCGGAUCGUAAAACUCUGUUGUUAGGGAAGAACAAAUUUGUUAGUAACUGAACAAGUCUUGACGGUACCUAACCAGAAAGCCACGGCUAACUACGUGCCAGCCGCCGCCGAUA